CGUGUAGGCUGCUCUGCAAGUCGGGUGUGAAAGCCCUGGGCUCAACCUAGGAAGUGCACUCGAAACUGCGGAGCUUGAGUUUCGGAGAGGAAGGCGGAAUUCUCGGUGUAGAGGUGAAAUUCGUAGAUAUCGAGAGGAACACCGGUGGCGAAGGCGGCCUUCUGGACGAUGACUGACGCUGAGACGCGAAAGCGUGGGGAGCAAACA
This 207-nucleotide ribosomal RNA is filed under the name uncultured delta proteobacterium. RNAcentral describes it as "partial 16S ribosomal RNA". It matches the Rfam family "Bacterial small subunit ribosomal RNA", at positions 568 to 774 of the family's 1533-position model. Lineage: Bacteria; Deltaproteobacteria. The record is from RNAcentral.